AUGCCUGAGUGGCCUAGUCUUGAUGAUAUUAUUUCUAGCAUGAUUGAGGAGGAGACUCGUUUGGCACAACCGAAGGAGGAGGGUCAGGAGCGUGCAGAUGCUCAUGCUGCAUUAUCCAUACAACCACGCCGUGCUACAAAUUCCUUUGGUAAGGUCGAUAAAAGCAAGUUGCUUUGUGACCAUUGCAACAGAAAAGGACACACCAAGGGUGAUUGUUUUGAGUUGCAUGGUUAUCCACCUUGGUGGGAUAAAGGGAGAUGUCAGCUAGGGGGGAGCUCGGGGUUCAAACAAAAGACAAGCUAA
Molecule: ribosomal RNA, 303 nt
Filed under: Triticum aestivum (bread wheat)
Lineage: Eukaryota; Viridiplantae; Streptophyta; Magnoliopsida; Poales; Poaceae
Description: partial small subunit ribosomal RNA
Source: RNAcentral